This 639-nucleotide long non-coding RNA is filed under the name Coturnix japonica (Japanese quail). RNAcentral's name for it is "lncRNA (ENSCJPG00005017977.1)". Lineage: Eukaryota; Metazoa; Chordata; Aves; Galliformes; Phasianidae. The record is from RNAcentral.
UGGUUGGAUCUGAGCUCACUGCUGACAGCUCUGGGCUAAUGGCACGGCAGGGCUAAAGGCUGGUAUUUUCCUAGUGAUCAAUGAUGUCUCAGCACUCUGAUAUCCCAUCUCUGGCACGAUCUGGAAGCUCUCAGCUGCCCGUUCCGACCUGAGUUUCUUCCUUUCUCUCUUCAGAGGCGGCGCAGCUGCCAGACAUCCAGCUGCACCUUUCAGCGCGCAGAGGGACGCAAUGGGGAUGGACUGUCCUUACUGCCACGCAAAAGGACAGAGCCCGUGCGUCCAUGCAAUGGUGCUGGGCAAGGUGGGAAACGGAAAGCCCAUGCAGAAGAUGACGCAAGCGGCCUUCCAGCAAAGCGCAGCCUUGCGGAAAGUCUGGGGAGGACUGCAGCCUGUGACGUGGCACCCAAGAGAGAUGUACAAUGUGAGCCAAAUGGAAUGAUCUACGUGAAAGCAGUGCAGGAAGUGCUUUCUGGGGAGAGAUCAUCUCCAGGCUGGAGGGCUUCCAGUAACAGCAGGUCCCAGCUCAGGGAGAAGACCUUCCCUGGCUGUGUGCCCCCGCUCUGUCUCCAAGACCCUGGCUGGAGGGAAACGCAAGGGCUUGGACGAAGAGCAACAGGCAGCAGCGCAGUUGCCUGCUAA